Non-coding RNA from Taeniopygia guttata (zebra finch), 4165 nucleotides. Lineage: Eukaryota; Metazoa; Chordata; Aves; Passeriformes; Estrildidae. The record is from RefSeq and is a predicted model, not a curated record.
UGAGUCUGGGAUGUAGGGAGGAGGAGCGUGGGUACACUCAAGUUUCAGCAAUGCCACGUCAGCCCCUCUCCACUUAACCGUGCUGUACCCAUAGGUGAUGCUGUCGGCCUCCAAGCACGCCUGAAGUGUGUGGCCUGGGCACUCUGAGGAGGAUGACCAAGAGGUGACAGCUGGAACUUAGCAGGCGGGCAGACGGCCUUCUUCUGCAGCCAGCAGGGAUUGACAUCCCCAGAUAUGUGCAAGAUAAGUGGAGUGUUACGACCUACAGAGGGGAUGGAAGCGGGGUGCUGGCUUGGGCCUUUCUAGAAGGGUUUUUUUUGUCUGUUUUGGGGAUGGGGAUGUCCAAGAAGCGUUUCCUUAGGCCACCUAAAGGGAAAGUGUCUGUUUUGGUCUCAGUGCUGAGGUUCACAGGGCAGAGCAGUUCCGGUGUGUGUCCUGUCACUUGUCUCUGGUGCACUCUGUGUUGUUUGGGUCUCUCGGUCCUUUCUUCUCCUCGAGAGCUCUCUCUCCCUGUCACGUCCUGUCCUGUGUCACGGGUGUCUGCACAUAUUUGUCCCGGCCAUGCUCUGCCCUGCUGCAUAGCCUGUAAUAGCACAAGUCCUGGGGACUUGAAAUUGGUAAUGCAGUGUGUAGUUGGGAUCUGGAUUGUGUAAGGAGAUGGCCAUAACAUGUUCAGUGGUGUUAAGUUGUCCUGCAGCUGUUUGAUACUAGUUCUAACUUCCUUUCAGAUGCUGACAGUUCAAAUCUGUGGCGGAGAGCGCCAGUCCUGGGUGAGGAUCUUCCCAUGAGCAGGUCGGUCAUUGUUUGCAUUUACAGGGGAAUUCUAAAUGGUGACUAUGUUACAGCGGUGUUUUUGUCUUUAUUUUUAGGAGAUCCUGGCAGAUAGCAGCAGUCAAGGCCCAUUGUGCUAGGGAAUCCCUUCGGAGUACGCAUAGCACCUGUCACCAGCUGGCCAAUGGACUGGGUUUCCUGUGCUUUAUGAGACCUCUGGAAGUAUAGCGGGACCCUGUGAUGAAGCCUUCACAUUUUGUAUGUCAGGGUCCCACCCUGGUAGCCCAGAGGAGUGGACAAGGAAUUGCGGUGAUGCUGUCGGCCUCCAAGCACGCCUGAAGUGUGUGGCCUGGGCACUCUGAGGAGGAUGACCAAGAGGUGACAGCUGGAACUUAGCAGGCGGGCAGACGGCCUUCUUCUGCAGCCAGCAGGGAUUGACAUCCCCAGAUAUGUGCAAGAUAAGUGGAGUGUUACGACCUACAGAGGGGAUGGAAGCGGGGUGCUGGCUUGGGCCUUUCUAGAAGGGUUUUUUUUGUCUGUUUUGGGGAUGGGGAUGUCCAAGAAGCGUUUCCUUAGGCCACCUAAAGGGAAAGUGUCUGUUUUGGUCUCAGUGCUGAGGUUCACAGGGCAGAGCAGUUCCAGUGUGUGUCCUGUCACUUGUCUCUGGUGCACUCUGUGUUGUUUGGGUCUCUCGGUCCUUUCUUCUCCUCGAGAGCUCUCUCUCCCUGUCACGUCCUGUCCUGUGUCACGGGUGUCUGCACAUAUUUGUCCCGGCCAUGCUCUGCCCUGCUGCAUAGCCUGUAAUAGCACAAGUCCUGGGGACUUGAAAUUGGUAAUGCAGUGUGUAGUUGGGAUCUGGAUUGUGUAAGGAGAUGGCCAUAACAUGUUCAGUGGUGUUAAGUUGUCCUGCAGCUGUUUGAUACUAGUUCUAACUUCCUUUCAGAUGCUGACAGUUCAAAUCUGUGGCGGAGAGCGCCAGUCCUGGGUGAGGAUCUUCCCAUGAGCAGGUCGGUCAUUGUUUGCAUUUACAGGGGAAUUCUAAAUGGUGACUAUGUUACAGCGGUGUUUUUGUCUUUAUUUUUAGGAGAUCCUGGCAGAUAGCAGCAGUCAAGGCCCAUUGUGCUAGGGAAUCCCUUCGGAGUACGCAUAGCACCUGUCACCAGCUGGCCAAUGGACUGGGUUUCCUGUGCUUUAUGAGACCUCUGGAAGUAUAGCGGGACCCUGUGAUGAAGCCUUCACAUUUUGUAUGUCAGGGUCCCACCCUGGUAGCCCAGAGGAGUGGACAAGGAAUUGCGGUGAUGCUGUCGGCCUCCAAGCACGCCUGAAGUGUGUGGCCUGGGCACUCUGAGGAGGAUGACCAAGAGGUGACAGCUGGAACUUAGCAGGCGGGCAGACGGCCUUCUUCUGCAGCCAGCAGGGAUUGACAUCCCCAGAUAUGUGCAAGAUAAGUGGAGUGUUACGACCUACAGAGGGGAUGGAAGCGGGGUGCUGGCUUGGGCCUUUCUAGAAGGGUUUUUUUUGUCUGUUUUGGGGAUGGGGAUGUCCAAGAAGCGUUUCCUUAGGCCACCUAAAGGGAAAGUGUCUGUUUUGGUCUCAGUGCUGAGGUUCACAGGGCAGAGCAGUUCCGGUGUGUGUCCUGUCACUUGUCUCUGGUGCACUCUGUGUUGUUUGGGUCUCUCGGUCCUUUCUUCUCCUCGAGAGCUCUCUCUCCCUGUCACGUCCUGUCCUGUGUCACGGGUGUCUGCACAUAUUUGUCCCGGCCAUGCUCUGCCCUGCUGCAUAGCCUGUAAUAGCACAAGUCCUGGGGACUUGAAAUUGGUAAUGCAGUGUGUAGUUGGGAUCUGGAUUGUGUAAGGAGAUGGCCAUAACAUGUUCAGUGGUGUUAAGUUGUCCUGCAGCUGUUUGAUACUAGUUCUAACUUCCUUUCAGAUGCUGACAGUUCAAAUCUGUGGCGGAGAGCGCCAGUCCUGGGAGAUCCUGGCAGAUAGCAGCAGUCAAGGCCCAUUGUGCUAGGGAAUCCCUUCGGAGUACGCAUAGCACCUGUCACCAGCUGGCCAAUGGACUGGGUUUCCUGUGCUUUAUGAGACCUCUGGAAGUAUAGCGGGACCCUGUGAUGAAGCCUUCACAUUUUGUAUGUCAGGGUCCCACCCUGGUAGCCCAGAGGAGUGGACAAGGAAUUGCGGUGAUGCUGUCGGCCUCCAAGCACGCCUGAAGUGUGUGGCCUGGGCACUCUGAGGAGGAUGACCAAGAGGUGACAGCUGGAACUUAGCAGGCGGGCAGACGGCCUUCUUCUGCAGCCAGCAGGGAUUGACAUCCCCAGAUAUGUGCAAGAUAAGUGGAGUGUUACGACCUACAGAGGGGAUGGAAGCGGGGUGCUGGCUUGGGCCUUUCUAGAAGGGUUUUUUUUUGUCUGUUUUGGGGAUGGGGAUGUCCAAGAAGCGUUUCCUUAGGCCACCUAAAGGGAAAGUGUCUGUUUUGGUCUCAGUGCUGAGGUUCACAGGGCAGAGCAGUUCCGGUGUGUGUCCUGUCACUUGUCUCUGGUGCACUCUGUGUUGUUUGGGUCUCUCGGUCCUUUCUUCUCCUCGAGAGCUCUCUCUCCCUGUCACGUCCCCUCGUUUGUCACGUCCUGUCCUGUGUCACGGGUGUCUGCACAUAUUUGUCCCGGCCAUGCUCUGCCCUGCUGCAUAGCCUGUAAUAGCACAAGUCCUGGGGACUUGAAAUUGGUAAUGCAGUGUGUAGUUGGGAUCUGGAUUGUGUAAGGAGAUGGCCAUAACAUGUUCAGUGGUGUUAAGUUGUCCUGCAGCUGUUUGAUACUAGUUCUAACUUCCUUUCAGAUGCUGACAGUUCAAAUCUGUGGCGGAGAGCGCCAGUCCUGGCGGUGUUUUUGUCUUUAUUUUUAGGAGAUCCUGGCAGAUAGCAGCAGUCAAGGCCCAUUGUGCUAGGGAAUCCCUUCGGAGUACGCAUAGCACCUGUCACCAGCUGGCCAAUGGACUGGGUUUCCUGUGCUUUAUGAGACCUCUGGAAGUAUAGCGGGACCCUGUGAUGAAGCCUUCACAUUUUGUUUGUCAGGGUCCCACCCUGGUAGCCCAGAGGAGUGGACAAGGAAUUGCGGUGAUGCUGUCGGCCUCCAAGCACGCCUGAAGUGUGUGGCCUGGGCACUCUGAGGAGGAUGACCAAGAGGUGACAGCUGGAACUUAGCAGGCGGGCAGACGGCCUUCUUCUGCAGCCAGCAGGGAUUGACAUCCCCAGAUAUGUGCAAGAUAAGUGGAGUGUUACGACCUACAGAGGGGAUGGAAGCGGGGUGCUGGCUUGGGCCUUUCUAGAAGGGUUUUUUUUGUCUGUUUUGGGGAUGGGGAUGUCCAAGAAGCGUUUCCUUAGGCCACCUAAAGGGAAA